Molecule: ribosomal RNA, 491 nt
Filed under: uncultured bacterium
Lineage: Bacteria
Description: partial 16S ribosomal RNA
Rfam family: Bacterial small subunit ribosomal RNA
Source: RNAcentral
ACUCAAAGGAAUAGACGGGGACCCGCACAACUGGUGGAGCGUGUGGUUUAAUUCGAGACGAAGCGAAAAACCUUACCAGGGUUUGACAUGUAAUCGUUUUAUGCUUUUGGAAACAUUAGCAGAUCCGCAAGGAUGAUUACACAGGUGAUGCAUGGCUGUCGUCAGCUCGUGCCGUGAGGUGUUCCCUUAAGUGGGGAAACGAGCGCAACCCGCAUCUAAUGUUAUAUAUUCAUUAGGAACAGUCCCGAUUUUAUCGGGAAGGAAGGCGCGGAAGACGUCAAGUCAGCACGUCCCUUAUACCCUGGGUCACACACACCCUACAAUGGCGAAGAACAAUGGGCUGCAAGCCGGCAACGGCAAGCGAAUCCCAGAAAUUUCGCCUCAGUUCAGAUUGGAGUCUGCAACCCGACUCCAUGAAGUCGGAAUCAGUAGUAAUCGCGGAUCAGAAGGCCGCGGUGAAUACGUUCUCGGGUCUUGUACACACCGCCCGU